AACAUUCACUGCUGUCGGUGGGU
Molecule: microRNA, 23 nt
Filed under: Eptatretus burgeri (inshore hagfish)
Lineage: Eukaryota; Metazoa; Chordata; Myxini; Myxiniformes; Myxinidae
Description: Ebu-Mir-181-P2f_5p (mature (guide))
Source: RNAcentral